This 30-nucleotide non-coding RNA is filed under the name Mus musculus (house mouse). The record is from RNAcentral. Lineage: Eukaryota; Metazoa; Chordata; Mammalia; Rodentia; Muridae.
UGAAAUGAGAGAAGUUGAGAUGGACUUGCC